Molecule: ribosomal RNA, 496 nt
Filed under: uncultured bacterium
Lineage: Bacteria
Description: partial 16S ribosomal RNA
Rfam family: Bacterial small subunit ribosomal RNA
Source: RNAcentral
GACGAACGCUGGCGGCGUGCCUAAUACAUGCAAGUUGAGCGAUGAAGAUUGGUGCUUGCACCAAUUUGAAGAGCAGCGAACGGGUGAGUAACGCGUGGGGAAUCUGCCUUUGAGCGGGGGACAACAUUUGGAAACGAAUGCUAAUACCGCAUAACAACUUUAAACAUAAGUUUUAAGUUUGAAAGAUGCAAUUGCAUCACUCAAAGAUGAUCCCGCGUUGUAUUAGCUAGUUGGUGAGGUAAAGGCUCACCAAGGCGAUGAUACAUAGCCGACCUGAGAGGGUGAUCGGCCACAUUGGGACUGAGACACGGCCCAAACUCCUACGGGAGGCAGCAGUAGGGAAUCUUCGGCAAUGGACGAAAGUCUGACCGAGCAACGCCGCGUGAGUGAAGAAGGUUUUCGGAUCGUAAAACUCUGUUGGUAGAGAAGAACGUUGGUGAGAGUGGAAAGCCCAUCAAGUGACGGUAACUACCCAGAAAGGGACGGCUAACUACGU